This 93-nucleotide ribosomal RNA is filed under the name Apium graveolens. Its description in RNAcentral is "partial 5.8S ribosomal RNA". It matches the Rfam family "5.8S ribosomal RNA", at positions 64 to 154 of the family's 154-position model. Rfam says of the family: 5.8S ribosomal RNA (5.8S rRNA) is a component of the large subunit of the eukaryotic ribosome. It is transcribed by RNA polymerase I as part of the 45S precursor that also contains 18S and 28S rRNA. Lineage: Eukaryota; Viridiplantae; Streptophyta; Magnoliopsida; Apiales; Apiaceae. The record is from RNAcentral.
GGUGUGAAUUGCAGAAUCCCGUGAACCAUCGAGUCUUUGAACGCAAGUUGCGCCCGAAGCCAAUAGGCCGAGGGCACGUCUGCCUGGGUGUCA